This is a long non-coding RNA of Polypterus senegalus (gray bichir), 494 nucleotides long. RefSeq lists it as uncharacterized. NCBI's taxonomy places the organism in Eukaryota, Metazoa, Chordata, Cladistia, Polypteriformes, Polypteridae. The transcript has 4 exons. The record is from RefSeq and is a predicted model, not a curated record.
CGCAUGGGGAGCAGCUGAAGGACCCAACACACAUCGCAACAAGUCAUGCCAGGGGACAAAGGCAGGGUACUAACCUCUCUUUCUCUUUUUUCUUUUUUCACUUCAUUAACGAGCCACCCAGAGCACUCCCCAGGUGCAGCAUAAAAGGAGGCACCUGCCUACAUUAUGUGAGCCCAGAGUCGGGAGAAGGAGGAGGACAACGCUUGCCAGGAGUGAAGGUGGAAGGAGACAGACAGGAAGACUGUUCUUUAUUUGUGCUUGGUGAUUGUGAACCAUGCUUUGUACUGUUUUCUUGUGAAAUAUGAUUGAUUGAAAAGAUGCUGAAUCACAGCAGGUGCAUCAUCUAUGCACACAGUAAAGCAAUAAGAAUCAAGGAGCUGGCCACAGUCUUCAGGAAGCAGGUGGCAUACUAUACUCAAAGCCAAAACUGGAGGGCAUGCGGAUGUGAAUGUGGUUUGUUAUAGUCACAGACAGGACCGGGGGAAAACAAAAAC